Manis javanica (Malayan pangolin) is the source of this 128-nucleotide small nucleolar RNA. The record is from RefSeq and is a predicted model, not a curated record. Lineage: Eukaryota; Metazoa; Chordata; Mammalia; Pholidota; Manidae.
GUUGAGGUCUAGCCCAACGGGACUUUUUCUUUAAACCUACAGCAUUGGAAAUGCCUCAGAGAGUGUCUGUGUGGUCUGUUUUUCUCACAGAACUGUGUGUUAGAUCUUUGGGAAACUACACGACAGGU